UAAUAGGCUCUUAGUAAAUGUG
This 22-nucleotide microRNA is filed under the name Monodelphis domestica (gray short-tailed opossum). RNAcentral describes it as "mdo-miR-7281-5p". The record is from miRBase by way of RNAcentral. Lineage: Eukaryota; Metazoa; Chordata; Mammalia; Didelphimorphia; Didelphidae.